Molecule: ribosomal RNA, 799 nt
Filed under: Bondarzewia sp.
Lineage: Eukaryota; Fungi; Basidiomycota; Agaricomycetes; Russulales; Bondarzewiaceae
Description: partial large subunit ribosomal RNA
Rfam family: Eukaryotic large subunit ribosomal RNA
Source: RNAcentral
AAUUUUCCCCUAGUAACUGCGAGUGAAGCGGGAAAAGCUCAAAUUUAAAAUCUGGCGGUCUGUGGCCGUCCGAGUUGUAGUCUGGAGAAGCGUCUUCCGCGUCGGACCGUGUACAAGUUUCCUGGAACGGAGCGUCAUAGAGGGUGAGAAUCCCGUCUUUGACACGGACAGCCGAUGCUUUGUGAUGCGCUCUCGAAGAGUCGAGUUGUUUGGGAAUGCAGCUCAAAAUGGGUGGUGAAUUCCAUCUAAAGCUAAAUAUUGGCGAGAGACCGAUAGCGAACAAGUACCGUGAGGGAAAGAUGAAAAGCACUUUGGAAAGAGAGUUAAACAGUACGUGAAAUUGUUGAAAGGGAAACGCUCGAAGUCAGUCGCGUCCGCCGGGACUCAGCCUCGCAAUCCGUUGCUUGGUGUACUUUCUGGUGGACGGGCCAGCAUCAAUUUUGGUCGCCGGACAAAGGUCGGAGAAAUGUGGCACCUUCGGGUGUGUUAUAGUCUCCGGCCACACGCGGCGGUCGGGAUUGAGGAACUCAGCACGCCUUUACGGUCGGGGCUUUGCCCACGUUCGUGCUUAGGAUGCUGGCGUAAUGGCUUUGAACGACCCGUCUUGAAACACGGACCAAGGAGUCUAACAUGCCCGCGAGUGUUCGGGUGGUAAACCCGUGCGCGUAAUGAAAGUGAAAGUUGGGACCUCUGUCGUGGAGGGCACCGACGCCCGGACCAGAACUUCUGUGAUGGAUCUGCGGUAGAGCGUGCAUGUUGGGACCCGAAAGAUGGUGAACUAUGCCUGAAUAGGGUGAAG